UACGUAGGAUGCAAGCGUUGUCCGGAUUUACUGGGCGUAAAGCGCGCGCAGGCGGCACACCAAGUACCCUAUGAAAUCUCCUUGCUCAACGGGGAGGGUGUUGGGUAGACUGGUGAGCUAGAGGACGGUAGAGGGGGUAGAAUUGCUGGUGUAGCGGUGAAAUGCGUAGAGAUCAGCAGGAAUACCCGUGGCGAAGGCGAGUCCCUGGACAACACCUGACACUGAGGCACGAAAGCUAGGGGAGCAAACAGG
RNAcentral lists this ribosomal RNA (252 nucleotides) under uncultured bacterium. Its description in RNAcentral is "partial 16S ribosomal RNA". It matches the Rfam family "Bacterial small subunit ribosomal RNA", at positions 524 to 776 of the family's 1533-position model. The record is from RNAcentral.